AAGUGAGAAUGCCGGUGUGAGUAGCGAAAGACGGGUGAGAAUCCCGUCCACCGAUUGACUAAGGUUUCCAGAGGAAGGCUCGUCCGCUCUGGGUUAGUCGGGUCCUAAGCUGAGGCCGACAGGCGUAGGCGAUGGAUAACAGGUUGAUAUUCCUGUACCACCUAUAAUCGUUUUAAUCGAUGGGGGGACGCAGUAGGAUAGGCGAAGCGUGCGAUUGGAUUGCACGUCUAAGCAGUAAGGCUGAGUAUUAGGCAAAUCCGGUACUCGUUAAGGCUGAGCUGUGAUGGGGAGAAGACAUUGUGUCUUCGAGUCGUUGAUUUCACACUGCCGAGAAAAGCCUCUAGAUAGAAAAUAGGUGCCCGUACCGCAAACCGACACAGGUAGUCAAGAUGAGAAUUCUAAGGUGAGCGAGCGAACUCUCGUUAAGGAACUCGGCAAAAUGACCCCGUAACUUCGGGAGAAGGGGUGCUCUUUAGGGUUAACGCCCAGAAGAGCCGCAGUGAAUAGGCCCAAGCGACUGUUUAUCAAAAACAC
RNAcentral lists this ribosomal RNA (534 nucleotides) under Staphylococcus aureus. RNAcentral describes it as "partial 23S ribosomal RNA". It matches the Rfam family "Bacterial large subunit ribosomal RNA", at positions 1286 to 1816 of the family's 2925-position model. Lineage: Bacteria; Bacillati; Bacillota; Bacilli; Caryophanales; Staphylococcaceae. The record is from RNAcentral.